AGAAGACCUGGGGCGCGCUGCUCACUGCGCAGGCGCAGUGAGCCCAGGCGGGCAGCCCUGGCCAGCAGCUCUUGUCCCUGUGGCUGGAGGCUGAAGUCCACGUAGGCCCCGGCGGGGAGCCGCUGGGGUGUAGGCCGGGUGCCUUUGUCCAAGCCUGGCGCCACUGCCCAGACACUUUACUUCAAAUUUGGCUUUAUUUUCAUCAUUGAUAUUGAUUAAAAUGACAUUCACUUGCCCGGAAAGUAAAAGAGGUCUUCAGCACAAAAUAUUGCUCCAACAAGCAAGCAUAAAUCACUGAGAUUGAAAUGUCAUCUAUCUUUAUUGGCCAACCACAUAAUCUCCAUGAAAAUUCUCAACAGAGAGCAAGGAACUCACUUUCUUCUAAGCAAAGACAAUUUGGAUUUGCCUCGUGGCACUGGCAUCUCUUCAUGUCUGGACGUCAGAUGUUAGCUUGGUGCCUUUCUCCCUUAUCAGGGGGACAUUUUGAACCCAGCCGCACCAAUGUUCUCAUGGAUGGUGGCCUUCGAUUCUUCUAGAUUCAAGAUUUGGCUCUUGUACUUUUCCUGCCAGUCCUCUACAAUGUACUGGUGGUAGGGGUCAUUGGAGUGUUCCCGUCUCUUGGAUUUCACAGUGCUCACCAGGAUGGCCACGAUGAUGAAAGAGAACAUUCCAAUCAUCACCAUGAGGUACAGGAUGACAUAGUAGAAGUUCUCAGCAUCAACUUUGGCUUGGAGGGCCUCUUGCUCAGCUGUUGUGUUCUGGCGCCAAUUGUCCAUAUAAGUAAUAAAAAUCCUUCGGAAGACGUCUUCCAGCGUCUGUGUGAAAUUGGAUAAAGUAGACAUGCUUCCCUCCUGCUGCAAUUUAAAUAAUAAAAUAGGCGAACAAGAGAAUUGUGGGGCAUUAUGAGAUAACAUCAAGAGAAAAGAUUGCAGGGGGCAUUGACAGACUCUCCAAUUUGUUCCAUCCCCUAUGUCUAAGUGGCACAUUGUCCCAAGUAUCCUAAAGGGAGGGGUGUGUACAUCUAUAUUUGAAAGAAGCAUUUUAGAAAUGGAAGCAAAACGUUCAAGUAAGAAUUCCGCUAGGAGACGGUGCCACCUGCUGGUGGGAACAGGGAACUGAGGCCAAUCUUCUAACUCAGCCCUUGCGGUUUAACUUCACUCUUGAAUUCUGGCGCCGAGGAGAGGGGAAUCAAAGCAGCGUGUUGUGCUUUGGUAAUUAAAGGCAGAACUGGACGGCGAUGUGUCAUGGAGGCUGGCAAACCAGAACUUGAGCUCCAUGACAACAGGGACCUUACCUGUAUUGCCCAUUCUGUGUCUGGCUGGAAAAAAGCUCUCACUGUAUCCCAAAAGAAUGGUGAUAAUUCUAGAUUCUGGCUGUGAUGAAAUCAACCACCUCAUCUAUUUACAAGAAUAUUAGAAGAGAUGGCAAUGAUUCUGGAGUGGAUUACACCAUUUGACUGAGGAACUACUGGAAUUUUCUUCUUCUCUAAGAUACACACAAGCAUGACGACUUCCAAUGAACAGGCCUCACCAAGAACUCUCCAAACAUGUAGGGUUUCUUUAGUUUAUCAAUGAAACAAGCAACUUGGUAGGAUGCUUCUGAAAUGCCGCUGCUGUGAUAGAGCAAACCAAGUUUUGAUAAAGUUGAUUCUCUUCUGAUGGAGCCUUCCCCCAAGGUGCUUUCCCAGCCUUGCUGGCUUCAUGCUUCUGGGAUUGAGAAGCUUGUCACCAUCAUCAACAGGCCUAGUUUGCAACGGAAAGCCAGAGAACGUCUCAGCUUCCUUGUGUUCUGUUUGCCCUGACAUUACUGAACUUUAGCAAGACCCAAAGUUAACAAAGACCCCUGUCACAGGCCGAAUGGCAGGGUAUGUUCUUUGAUUUCUGUUAGUGGAAAAUGAAUGUAACACAGAGAUCACAUGGGCUGUGAGGCCCCCCUGUAGCCUCCAGCACCCUUUCUUCCUGGAGCAUGAAUCUGGACGGAAAUGGUGCCGUAUUAGGUUUGUUUUACAAAGAUGAUUUUCAAAGAGGAAGAGGAUCAAAAGAAACAGAAAAGAACCCCCAGCGUGCAGGCCACAGGUGUGUGGGGGUUAAAACUGGAUGGGAAGGAGAGGGGGAAGUCCUGGAACUCAAGGAGGCACAACCGUGGGGGCUUCAUUUUCCCCAGGAACUAUAAAAGGCCAAUGGGCUCUUGUAGGAAAAAAGCAGAUCAGCACAGAUGGGAGCAGAGAAAGGGCUCUCACAGCAAAUUUUGCCGGCUUUCCAGUUUUUCCAUAGAUCAGACCACUUUUUGGCCUUUGCUUAGAACCAUCAAGCUUCCUCCUUAGGCAUCCAGCACAGCUCUUUCCAUAUAUGUGGCGGUUUUUUGUUUUGUUUUAAUAAAGAAAAAUGUUUAUAAGCAUUGUACACAUUGCAUACUGGAAAUCUGCCAAGAGAGUAGGUUUUAGGUGCUCUUACCACACAUACCCCCCCCCAAAACACACACGAACAUGGACAUGUUAAUGGUUGGUGUAAUAUGUUAACGGUAUGUUAAUUUGCUUGUCUGUGGUAAUCACUCCACAUAUGUACGUCAGAACAUCUUGUUGCAUAUCUUAAAUACAGACAAUAAAAAAAGAAAAUCUUGGCUGGGCGUGGUGGCUUUUGCCUGUAAUCCCAGCAUUUUGGGAGGCCAAGGAGGGAGGAUCACAUGCCAGGAGUUCGAGACCAGACUGGGUUAACAUAGUGAGAUCCCAUCUCUACAAAAAAAAAUUUUAAAAAGAAAAUCUUUGAAAAGUUAAAAGAGAAAUAUUGAAGAACAGUGAAAACAGGUGUUAUAGAAAUCAUUUUAGUUCUAUAUAAAAACUUUUAUUUGUUUGUAAAUAAAAAUAUUUGAUAUUUACAUUC
This 2879-nucleotide long non-coding RNA is filed under the name Homo sapiens (human). RNAcentral describes it as "HSALNT0403925". The record is from RNAcentral. Lineage: Eukaryota; Metazoa; Chordata; Mammalia; Primates; Hominidae.